RNAcentral lists this ribosomal RNA (433 nucleotides) under uncultured bacterium. RNAcentral describes it as "partial 16S ribosomal RNA". It matches the Rfam family "Bacterial small subunit ribosomal RNA", at positions 29 to 507 of the family's 1533-position model. The record is from RNAcentral.
AACGAACGCUGGCGGCAUGCCUAACACAUGCAAGUCGAACGAUGCCUUCGGGCAUAGUGGCGCACGGGUGCGUAACGCGUGGGAAUCUGCCUUUCGGUUCGGAAUAACUCAGGGAAACUUGAGCUAAUACCGGAUAACGUCGCAAGACCAAAGAUUUAUCACCGAAAGAUGAGCCCGCGUAGGAUUAGCUAGUUGGUGAGGUAAAGGCUCACCAAGGCGACGAUCCCUAGCUGGUCUGAGAGGAUGAUCAGCCACACUGGGACUGAGACACGGCCCAGACUCCUACGGGAGGCAGCAGUGGGGAAUAUUGGACAAUGGGCGAAAGCCUGAUCCAGCAAUGCCGCGUGAGUGAUGAAGGCCUUAGGGUUGUAAAGCUCUUUUACCCGGGAAGAUAAUGACGGUACCGGGAGAAUAAGCCCCGGCUAACUCCGUG